RNAcentral lists this ribosomal RNA (492 nucleotides) under uncultured bacterium. RNAcentral describes it as "partial 16S ribosomal RNA". It matches the Rfam family "Bacterial small subunit ribosomal RNA", at positions 29 to 507 of the family's 1533-position model. The record is from RNAcentral.
AGUGAACGCUGGCGGUAGGCCUAACACAUGCAAGUCGAACGGCAGCACAGUAAGAGCUUGCUCUUACGGGUGGCGAGUGGCGGACGGGUGAGGAAUACAUCGGAAUCUACUUUUUCGUGGGGGAUAACGUAGGGAAACUUACGCUAAUACCGCAUACGACCUACGGGUGAAAGCAGGGGAUCUUCGGACCUUGCGCGUUUGAAUGAGCCGAUGUCGGAUUAGCUAGUUGGCGGGGUAAAGGCCCACCAAGGCGACGAUCCGUAGCUGGUCUGAGAGGAUGAUCAGCCACACUGGAACUGAGACACGGUCCAGACUCCUACGGGAGGCAGCAGUGGGGAAUAUUGGACAAUGGGCGAAAGCCUGAUGCAGCCAUACCGCGUGGGUGAAGAAGGCCUUCGGGUUGUAAAGCCCUUUUGUUGGGAAAGAAAAGCAGCAGGUUAAUACCCCGCUGUUCUGACGGUACCCAAAGAAUAAGCACCGGCUAACUUCGUG